AGUGGGAUAGCUGGGUGAGAUGGUGGUUCCACUACAAGUUUACUAAGGAAUCUCCAUACUGCUUUCCAAAGUGGUCACAUCAAUUUGCAAUCCCACUAGCAAU
This 103-nucleotide microRNA precursor is filed under the name Marmota monax (woodchuck). The record is from RNAcentral. Lineage: Eukaryota; Metazoa; Chordata; Mammalia; Rodentia; Sciuridae.